RNAcentral lists this ribosomal RNA (183 nucleotides) under Vairimorpha bombi. RNAcentral's name for it is "Nosema bombi partial 18S ribosomal RNA". It matches the Rfam family "Microsporidia small subunit ribosomal RNA", at positions 20 to 203 of the family's 1311-position model. The record is from RNAcentral. Lineage: Eukaryota; Fungi; Microsporidia; Nosematidae.
GACGUAGACGCUAUUCCCUAAGAUUAACCCAUGCAUGUUUUUGAAGAUUAUUAUCUGAAAAAUGGACUGCUCAGUAAUACUCACUUUAUUUUAUGUGCACCGCAGAUAACUACGUUAAAGUGUAGAUAACAUGUGUACAGUAAGAGUGAGACCUAUCAGCUAGUUGUUAAGGUAAUGGCUUAA